GACGAACCGUGCGAACGUUGUUCGGAAUCACUGGGCUUAAAGGGCGCGUAGGCGGGCUGCCAAGUCUGGGGUGAAAUCCUCCGGCUCAACCGGAGAACGGCCUGAGAUACUGGCGGCCUCGAGGGAGGUAGGGGCAUGCGGAACUAUGCGUGGAGCGGUGAAAUGCGUUGAUAUGCAUAGGAACUCCGGUGGCGAAGGCGGCGUGCUGGACCUCUUCUGACGCUGAUGCGCGAAAGCCAGGGGAGCGAACGGG
Molecule: ribosomal RNA, 253 nt
Filed under: uncultured bacterium
Lineage: Bacteria
Description: partial 16S ribosomal RNA
Rfam family: Bacterial small subunit ribosomal RNA
Source: RNAcentral